This is a long non-coding RNA of Telopea speciosissima, 287 nucleotides long. RefSeq lists it as uncharacterized. The record is from RefSeq and is a predicted model, not a curated record. Lineage: Eukaryota; Viridiplantae; Streptophyta; Magnoliopsida; Proteales; Proteaceae. The transcript is spliced from 2 exons.
CUCUCUAUCUCUAGUCUCUACUCUCUAGUUUGUGCAACUCGAAAAUCCCUGAAAGCAUAAAUCUAUAUUGAAGAUACAAAUCGAAAUCAAUUUUUGAAUGUUAGAGGUCUAUUAUUCCUCCUGUUUUUCUUCAGCUUCACCAUGGGAGCUAGCCGGAAGGUUCAAGGGGAGAUCGAUCGGGUCCUGAAGAAGGUCCAAGAGGGCGUUGAUCUCUUCGACAGUAUCUGGAACAAGGUUUACGAUACCGACAAUGCGAACCAGAAGGAGAAAUUCGAGGCGGAUUUGAA